UCGCUCGAAGUUUAAUCUCACUAGAAGCUAGAGUCUCCUUGAAAAAACUCUAAUUCCACUUUGUCACGCCUUAGAAUCAAAAUUUUUAUUACUGUUCCUCAGAAUUGCAGAAGGAGGUUAGGGUGUAUAUAGUUUGCGAUGAAUCGAGGUCUAAAAGGAGUUAGUUAUUCUACUAAUCGAUUUGUUUCUAUCUGUUUAAAAUUGAUUGAGAAUUUGGGGGUGUUUCAGAUACAAUGGUAGUACAAAAUGUCCCAGCUUUGGGUUGUGUGACAAUCUCGUGAGAGUGACUGAUAAACCUAUGGUGAGGAGUUUACUGAUGUCUUCUGGCUUAAGUUUCGUCUCGUCUCUAAUGCCCAGGUCUUUUGAUUUAGCUGUUCUGUAUUAACGCUAAGUGGUGCGCUGAUUGAUAUAUUUAGGCUAAAGCUGUCGGAAUUGUCCAAGAGGAAGUAUUUGCAAUAUUUGGUUUAAGAUAUAUAUGUUUAUUAUGUUUGAUUGAUUUGCAAAGAGGAAGUUGGAUGAGUCCGUUUUCUUGGGGAAUCGGCUCCAGAUCUCAUUUCUAACUCCUUUGCAACAAGAAUAAAGAUUGUGUCUCCUCUGUAGACUACGAUGAACAAAGCCAAGAACGCUUUCCAAGUCACAAAACCGGCAUUAGAGAUUGCAUCUUCCUCUAUCCUUUUUUGUCUUUUAGGAGUUUGGAAAGAGAGAUGGAGAACCAAAUCCAUAGAAGAAACGC
This is a long non-coding RNA of Raphanus sativus (radish), 733 nucleotides long. RefSeq lists it as uncharacterized. The record is from RefSeq and is a predicted model, not a curated record. The transcript is spliced from 3 exons. Lineage: Eukaryota; Viridiplantae; Streptophyta; Magnoliopsida; Brassicales; Brassicaceae.